GGGUCAGUAGGUUGGUCGUGCCACCGGUACGUACUGGUCUCACUGAUUCCUCCUUCCUGAAGAACCGUAAUGCCAUUAAUUUGGUGUUGCGGGGAAACAGGACUGUUACUUUGAAAAAAUUAGAGUGUUUAAAGCAAGCUAACGCUUGAAUACAUUAGCAUGGAAUAAUGAAAUAGGACGAUCGAUCCUAUUUUGUUGGUCUCUAGGGUUGACGUA
This 216-nucleotide ribosomal RNA is filed under the name Glomeromycotina sp. Its description in RNAcentral is "partial small subunit ribosomal RNA". The stretch from base 40 to 216 matches the Rfam family "Eukaryotic small subunit ribosomal RNA", at positions 686 to 864 of the family's 1831-position model. The record is from RNAcentral. Lineage: Eukaryota; Fungi; Glomeromycota.